GAUGAACGCUAGCGGUAUGCUUAACACAUGCAAGUCGAGCGGCAGCAUGGUGUUCUCUUGCUAAGGCCGAUGGCGACCGGCGCACGGGUGCCUAACGCGUAUCCAACUUGCCUCACAGAGGUGAAUAACCCGACGAAAGGCGGACUAAUACCGCGUUCACUCCACCUUGGGCAUCCUAGGUAGAGGCAAUGUAGUUCGCUGUGAGAUAGGCAUGCGUUCCAUUAGCUCGUUGGUGAGGUAACGGCUCAUCAAGGCGACGAAGGGUAGGGGAACGGAGAGGUGGAACCCCCGCACUGGGACCGCGACCCAGACCAGUAUGGUACGGGAGGGAGGAGUGAGGAAUACAAGGCGAGGGGCGAUAGCCUGAACACGCCAAGUCGCGUGAAGGAGGACUGUCUUCGGGAUGCUCAACUUCUUGUAUACAGGAAUAAUAAGAGUCACGAGUGACUCCCUGACGGUACCGAAUGAAUAAGCAACGGCUAACUACGUG
This 490-nucleotide ribosomal RNA is filed under the name uncultured bacterium. RNAcentral's name for it is "partial 16S ribosomal RNA". It matches the Rfam family "Bacterial small subunit ribosomal RNA", at positions 28 to 507 of the family's 1533-position model. The record is from RNAcentral.